GACGAACGCUGGCGGCGUGCUUAACACAUGCAAGUCGAACGGAAAGGCCCUGCUUUUGUGGGGUGCUCGAGUGGCGAACGGGUGAGUAACACGUGAGUAACCUGCCCUUGACUUUGGGAUAACUUCAGGAAACUGGGGCUAAUACCGGAUAGGAGCUCCUGCUGCAUGGUGGGGGUUGGAAAGUUUCGGCGGGUGGGGAUGGACUCGCGGCUUAUCAGCUUGUUGGUGGGGUAGUGGCUUGCCAAGGCUUUGACGGGUAGCCGGCCUGAGAGGGUGACCGGCCACCUUGGGCCUGCGAUACGGCCCAGACUCCUACGGGAGGCAGCAGUGGGGAAUAUUGCACAAUGGGAGGAAGCCGGAUGCAGCAACGCCGCGUUCGGGAUGACGGCCUUCGGGUUGUAAACCGCUUUCGCCUGUGACGAAGCGUGAGUGACGGUAAUGGGUAAAGAAGCACCGGCUAACUACGUG
This 468-nucleotide ribosomal RNA is filed under the name uncultured bacterium. RNAcentral describes it as "partial 16S ribosomal RNA". It matches the Rfam family "Bacterial small subunit ribosomal RNA", at positions 28 to 507 of the family's 1533-position model. The record is from RNAcentral.